RNAcentral lists this long non-coding RNA (1023 nucleotides) under Mustela putorius furo (domestic ferret). RNAcentral describes it as "lncRNA (ENSMPUG00000025784.1)". The record is from RNAcentral. Lineage: Eukaryota; Metazoa; Chordata; Mammalia; Carnivora; Mustelidae.
GCCCCAUCCGCUGAGGAAUUCCACACGUGUCCUGUGACUUUCACCUUCUGGCCUCAAUUUCUCCAGCCGUGAAAAAAUGAUAUUCAACCCAUCAACUCCGCAGGGUGAGAUGAAACAAAUAUGAUGAAAACCUCUUCAGAAGCACAAGCUGCCAGAAAUACGCAUCAUAUUUUUGUUCAGUUAAGGGCUCUUAUUACUUGGAAAGGGAUCUACAGGUAGGGAUCGAAAAGCCAUGAGCCAAUGAACUCCGAACCAAGAUUCCAUAAUGCUUCUCUGCUAGUCCUUAAUCCAUUUUAGAUACACGCCCUAACCCAGAGACACCCCCCCCCCCGCCAGGCCUUUCAUGAGCUAGGAUUUUCAUUUCUUGUCUGGAUACUGCUUUUCUGGAAAGUGUCCCAGUCUCUUUCAUGAAUGAGUCCAUCUGGGGGCGGGGUGAAGAGUAUAGGCAAACGUAUCUUCCCUUAAUGAAAAAAAAAAAAAAGCCAUAUAGAGAAUGAAUCAAUGCUACCCAAAGAAGAUGGUUUGCUCCAUAUGGUUGCCAUGGGAACCUGGAUUGGGUACCAGGCAGCUUGAGUUCUGUGAUGGUUACAUAGCCCUUGACUGUGAUUUGGGAGCUGGAUUCUUGUCUCUGCCCCACCUCUGCUGAGCUCCCAAAAAGCUUGUGAUCUCCUGCAGCAAGACAGAUGAGGAGAGAGCUGAUUGCAGAGCCCAGGGACUGGCUCUCAUCGAGGACUGCCCCUGCAAGGAUCUUCGAGGAGAGGAAUCUGCACCUUCCUGCCACCCGGCCGCUGGAGAUUCCCGUGCCAAGCCCUCAAAGCAGCUCGACUUCCCAUGCAAUAAAGCAGCAGUGAGAAAGGCUCAGAGUAAUUAAGUGGCUGACGCACAGAAGAAGCCGUUACAAAGAAUUGACUAAAUUGCUCAUUCAUUAGCAGCUCGGCAUGGAAGGAGAAUUACAAAUAGGCGGCGGAGCCCGCAGUAAUUCAAUCUAACCUUGUACUUACAGAAAACAAUGAGAUAAUGAAC